Molecule: small nucleolar RNA, 120 nt
Filed under: Marmota monax (woodchuck)
Lineage: Eukaryota; Metazoa; Chordata; Mammalia; Rodentia; Sciuridae
Description: Small nucleolar RNA SNORA42/SNORA80 family
Rfam family: Small nucleolar RNA SNORA42/SNORA80 family
About the family: The members of this family belong to the H/ACA class of snoRNAs that guide the sites of modification of uridines to pseudouridines. Human ACA42 (SNORA42) was cloned from HeLa cells by immunoprecipitation with anti-GAR1 antibody.
Source: Rfam by way of RNAcentral
GCAUGGGUUUGGAUUUAUGGCAGGCCCGCCCCCUGGGUCCUAUGCCAGAGCAAACUGUGGCCCCAACCAUUGCCUGGCCUCUGCCUGAAGGCUGCUGGCACUGAAGAGGGUUGCACAGUG